GUGGGGAAUCUUCCGCAAUGGACGAAAGUCUGACGGAGCAACGCCGCGUGAACGAUGACGGCCUUCGGGUUGUAAAGUUCUGUUAUACGGGACGAAUGGUACGACGGCCAAUACCCGUCGUAAGUGACGGUACCGUAAGAGAAAGCCACGGCUAACUACGUGCCAGCAGCCGCGGUAAUACGUAGGUGGCAAGCGUUGUCCGGAAUUAUUGGACGUAAAGGGCGCGCAGGCGGCGUCGUAAGUCGGUCUUAAAAGUGCGGGGCUUAACCCCGUGAGGGGACCGAAACUGCGAUGCUAGAGUAUCGGAGAGGAAAGCGGAAUUCCUAGUGUAGCGGUGAAAUGCGUAGAUAUUAGGAGGAACACCAGUGGCGAAAGCGACUUUCUGGACUGUAACUGACGCUGAGGCUCGAAAGCCAGGGGAGCGAACGGGAUUAGAAACCCUUGUAGUCC
RNAcentral lists this ribosomal RNA (450 nucleotides) under uncultured bacterium. RNAcentral's name for it is "partial 16S ribosomal RNA". It matches the Rfam family "Bacterial small subunit ribosomal RNA", at positions 354 to 796 of the family's 1533-position model. The record is from RNAcentral.